UGCCAGCCGCCGCGGUAAUACGGAGGGGGUUAGCGUUGUUCGGAAUUACUGGGCGUAAAGCGCGCGUAGGCGGAUUGGAAAGUUAGAGGUGAAAUCCCAGGGCUCAACCCUGGAACUGCCUUUAAAACUCCCAGUCUUGAGUUCGAGAGAGGUGAGUGGAAUUCCUGGUGUAGCGGUGAAAUGCGUAGAUAUCAGGAGGAACACCUAUGGCGAAAGCAGCUCUCUGGCCCGAUACUGACGCUGAGGCCCGAAAGCGUGGGGAGCGAACAGGAUUAGAUA
This 279-nucleotide ribosomal RNA is filed under the name uncultured bacterium. RNAcentral describes it as "partial 16S ribosomal RNA". It matches the Rfam family "Bacterial small subunit ribosomal RNA", at positions 506 to 784 of the family's 1533-position model. The record is from RNAcentral.